GGGCAUCGUCGCCCCGUUUGCAGAUGGAGCAACUGUCGGGGUGGGGGUGGGGUUGCUCAAGCUGCCUGGACCCGGCGGCGGGGCCUGUGGUGGCCGGGAGCAGCUACCCCUACCUCGCCUUCGUCUCCAGGCUCCGCGUUGCCCAACAGACCCGGGACAGACACAUUUCGUCAGUGACCAGGGAGCCGGGCUCCUGGCCCCGCCGCCACCCAGAUGAACCAGAUGUGUGAUGCCGGGGGCCCUCAGGAAGGACAGGGCCUUGCCCCCUGCCCUGCCCCAGUCAGCACUGCUCAGCCGUCACCCAGGAAGGAAGGAGGCUUACCAGCAGCCCCCAUGCUGUGUGUGUAUUAUCUUCAUCAGCCCAAGAAGGAAGCUGUUAAUACCAAGCCCGGUCACAGGGAGACACUGAAGGUGUGUGAGCAACGGAAAAACGCUACUAGAGGGGACUUGAUCUGCUGGCAGCUAUGCUGGAGUCGACUGGGAAAUGGGUCUCCUCCAGGCCCCUUCCCCGAUCUCCAUGACUGAAUGAAAGCGUAAAAGCCAACUGGGAGCUGAGAUGUGCUGGGCACCUGGUGGAUUUAGAAAUGAUGCAAUCACGCACAGGGCUUUAACAAGGCAAUGCCUCAGUUAUCAGACAGCAGAUGAUACUCUGGGGAGCGGGGAGCACGGCUGAAACCAGCCACUCAUGAGAGGUCCAGCCCCCAGCAAAGAAAGAAGCAGGACAGUCGGGGAACAGUGAGGUCCACCUGUUGCUCAGUUACUGACUGAACAACAACACGUUCUACAGUAGCUGCUCUGUUGGGUUCAUGGUGACGACACCGAAAGUUAAGUGAAAGUGAAAGUCGCUCAGUUGUGUCCGACUCUUUUCGACCCCAUGGACUAUACAGUCCAUGGAAUUCUCCAGGCCAGAAUACUGGAGUGGGUAGUCUUUCCCUUCUUCAGGGGAAUCUUCCCAACCCAUGGAUCGAACCCAGGUCUCCCGCAUUGCAAGCGGAUUCUUUACCAGCUGAGCCACAAGGGAAGACCAAGAAUACUGGAGUGGGUAGCCUAUCUCUUCUCUAGCGGAUCUUCCCGACCCAGGACUUGAACUGGCAUUGCAGGCGAUUCUUUACCAGCUGAGCUACCAGGGAAGCCCUGAUGGCACUGGCAGUGAGAAGGUCAUCAGCAGUCUGGAUGCUGUGUUGGUGAGGGCAGGGGCCGCUCAUUUUACCGUUACCAUCAGUCAAUAUGGGGGCUUCCCAGGUAUCACUAAUGGUGACGAAUCUGCCAGUCAAUGCAGAAGAUGCAAGAGAUACAGCUUUGAACCCUGGGUCGGGAAGAUCCCCUGGAGAAGGAAAUGGCAACCCACUCCAGUAUUCUUGCCUGGGAAAUCUCAUGAACAGAGGAGCCUGGUGGGCUACAGUCCAUGGGGCUGCAAAGACUCGGACGUGACUGAGUGACCUGAGCACACAUGAAUCAAUAUGCAUGAGCACAUAAAAAGAAAGGUGACGGAGGGCUUCCCUGGUGGUUCAGUGGCUAAGAUUCCAUGUUCCUAGUGCUGGGGACGUGGUCUCAACCCUGGUCAGAGAACGAGAUCCUGCGUGCUGUUAACUAGGAGCCCACAUGCUGCAACCAAGAUCCGGUGCAGCCAAAUAAAUUUUUUUAAACAAGGAAGACAAGUGAUAGGAGUGGUUCCUUCCUCUGAGUUCUCCGUCUUGACUGCCUGCCGCAGCCUGAAUGAGGCUACAGCUAAAGCACGUGGCUUAGACGGUAAAGAACCUGCCUGCAAUGCAGGAGAACCCAGGUUUGGUCCAUGG
RNAcentral lists this long non-coding RNA (1796 nucleotides) under Cervus hanglu yarkandensis (Yarkand deer). Its description in RNAcentral is "lncRNA (ENSCHYG00000025322.1)". The record is from RNAcentral. Lineage: Eukaryota; Metazoa; Chordata; Mammalia; Artiodactyla; Cervidae.